Small nucleolar RNA from Dendrobium catenatum, 81 nucleotides. RefSeq annotates it as small nucleolar RNA U54. NCBI's taxonomy places the organism in Eukaryota, Viridiplantae, Streptophyta, Magnoliopsida, Asparagales, Orchidaceae. The record is from RefSeq and is a predicted model, not a curated record. The transcript has a single exon.
AGCUCGAUGAUUGCAUCCUUUUUUUGAAGGAAUAUACGCUAUUCUGAGUUUUAAAUGCUGAUUUUAAAGAUUAUGAGAGCU